RNAcentral lists this transfer RNA (66 nucleotides) under Agriotes fuscicollis. RNAcentral describes it as "tRNA-Trp". The record is from RNAcentral. Lineage: Eukaryota; Metazoa; Arthropoda; Insecta; Coleoptera; Elateridae.
AAGGAUUUAAGUUAAUAAAACUAGUAACCUUCAAAGUUACCAUUAAAGGCUAACCUUUAAGCCUUA